This is a non-coding RNA of Sus scrofa (pig), 7566 nucleotides long. The record is from RefSeq and is a predicted model, not a curated record. Lineage: Eukaryota; Metazoa; Chordata; Mammalia; Artiodactyla; Suidae.
AAAAUUCUUAAUAAAUAAACAAAAUAAAAAGAACUUUAACUGAGAAAGGGGUCCAAUAGGACACAGGAUGCAUUUAUACAGGUGUAAGUUGGUAAAAAUCCAAGAGGUAAAAGCAUGUUUGUCCAUUUAAUCUGUCGAAUGAAGAAAUUUUGACAUGAGCUAGAUGGUCAAUGUUGUAGAUUACUUCCUUCUGUAAAUACAUUCUAAUGUGUACAGACAGUUACUUUCUUCUCACUGUCCCUUCAUUUUGGGUCGGUGGACACAUCCAAUGUCACCACAAUAAUAAGAUAAUAUUGAAAAACAAAGAAGCUUUAUGGGCCUGGCUUAUACACAUGGCUUAUUUUAGGAUGAAUUUAUUCUACAAUUCUGGCUCUUUAGCCUGCCUGUCUAGCUAAAAAUUUAUUUGUAGUAAUAAUACAAAGUUCAAUCUGGCACAAGCCUACUAGACAAGCCUACUGUGACUAGUAUGUUCUUUAGGGAAACAACCUAUUGGUUCAUCACAAGGGCGAAUAUCCAGUAUUUGGAAAAUAAGGUGAGAGGCAUUGGACAUCGAGAUUAAAGUGACAGGGCAGGGAAGUAACUGAUUCAGGGAGAAUUGGUAGGUUGGUGGAGCAAAGCAGCAGGGCCUGUUAAGAGACACACAGAUUGGGUACAGUGAAACCCGGAAGCAGAGGCCAUUCUGCAGACCUCAGACCUUGGCAACUGGUAAAAAAAAGACCACCAGGUCUAGGGAAUGUAAGAACUGGAUAGAGAAUUAAUACAUGCUUGCUCUGUUCAUAUGGCACCUCAAUUGGUCUGUGCAAGUGAUUUUAGGAGGCAGCUGUGAUGUCCAAUUUUUUUGGAUGAGGAAAUUGAUGUUCAGGAAAGCUAGAGACAGAGAAGGCAGUUACUGGAACAGCAGCAAAGCUAAUGAUGCUGGGUCACUAAAUUCCAGCACAAAUCCCAAAACUUCCAAAAUACCCUAUGACACAAAACUCUCUGGUCUGAAACCUGUGGGCCAACUUUUUGCUAUGAAAAUGUGCUCGUGUGUAUGGCGUGUGUGUGUGUGUGUGUGUGUGUGUGUGUGUGUGUGUACUAGUUUCAAAGGGAAAUAAAACUGGGAAGGGGAGAUGAAGAUGGUCAGGUUAUUCCAUUACCCUUUAAGAUUUUAAAACUCGGCAUUUAUGACCAUCAGAUUGUGAUCCAUCUACUAAAACAUAAAAAUAUGGAGGCCUAAUCUCCCCAGGUUUAGGAUGCAAUUCUGUCUCUGGAAUACCAAGCAACAGUAUCAAAUGCAAAGUCUGCCUAUGACUGAGGACACUUUGGUAAACAAUCUUCCACCUCAUGUUAGCAGCAUAAUCGGCAGUCAAAGUCUGUGUGUAUCUGUGAUUUUUUUUUAAUCCUUUCACUCUUUCUUCCUCUUUUUCUCCAUUGUAUUCCUUCUUUACUGGCCUCCCUGCCAUCCCCCUAAACACUUUUCUCUUGCCUAUGGAGAUGGGAAGCAAAAGGAAAUUGAUGCAGCAGCGGGUUUAAUAUGACAUUUGAAAAGUGACUUUUUGAUUUUCAAUUAACCUUGCACAAAGAGGAAAUAUUGAAAUUCGUCCCUUUGUUCUUGGCUGGAUCUGCAGUCAGGCUGCUUGGUUCCAAGAGCUGAACGGGUUUGGGGUGGGGCAGUGGGGAAGGAAGAGGCAGGAGAGAGGGAGAGAUCCUGGCACCUAGGAAGCAUUCCUUCUGUUUGCACAGAAUGAGACAAGACCAGCCUGUAGUAAUUACACUCAGAACGGGGGAACAGGUAGGGGAGAAAAUGCUGUCGUCAUUUGUUUGACUUAAUUGUAUGCUUUUAUGAGCCGUCUGGCUGGAAGGAUUAAACUUACUUUUAAUAACACUUCCUUUCAGAAAGAAUUGGAUUUGAAGUUUCCCAGCAGGACCUCCCAGUCGACAGCCGGGCCCCUUCCCCAAUCCCUGCGCCCCUCCUCCUUUUCCCUGGAGUCUACCCUCUCCCCUUCGCUUCUUUGAAAGCCCCAUUGUUCUGUUUGUAGAAGAAAGAGACGCUGUCGCCGCGCUGCUAGGCGUAAAGUUAACUCCGUACAUCUCUCUUUCUGGAUAUCUCCUCUUUCUGGGUUUUCUAUACAAUCUUCACUGAAGGCUGUAUCCGCCACCUCUCCCACUUGCAAGAGGAAACCCUGACAAUUAUAUAUGGGUAUAAAGUAACCGGAGGCAGUGACCCCCCUUAAGCCUCAGGGGGAGCCACGUGCGGACAGUGGCUAGGUGCCGUAAACACACACUCCGAUCAUUGUUAAGGAGCAGUGCUUUCGCCCACGCACCCUUUCAAUCGCUUCCUUCCCAGCUCCGGUCCGGUCCUUGCAGAAGUCUGCCCCUUGCUCCCUGCUGUUUACUCUCGCUCUCCUUCUUCCCUGUCGCAGUUUCUGUCUGCCUUCUCUCCUGCUCCCUUGCUUCGACAGGCUGGGCGAAUGGCAGCGUCUGGGUCCCCCGGGCCACUCGGAGUGUACCCCGCCCCAGGCCGCGCAAUGUGAACCCGUGCCGAAAGCGCCAAGACCUCCAUCUCAUCCCUAGAUGGCAGCAGGAUUCUGAAGCUGGCGCAGCCCUCGGCAGCCCUUCUGGUCUGUGUUCCUGAACAGAUUGCCAGGGGAUACGGUGGCUAAACAGCCCGGCGCCUCCCCGGAGUGCAGGUCAAGCAGAAGAGCAAGCUGGACAGAUGCAGCUGGCGGGGCCUCUGGGGUCGGAUGCUGAAGCUUCGGACACCACAUCCUCUCAGCACACAGAUGUGCAGAGUGAAGACAACAGGGAACCCCAAAGCUGACCUACAGUGGUCAGAGAAGAAUCCCAGGAAUGUGCCUUCCCAGUAUACAGCCAUAGUUCCUGACCUACAAAUGAUGUUGAUUUUAUCGGACUCAAACUACUCUGUUGGACCCACAGGUAAGAGUCAUGUUUUAUAAUAAAAUGGUCUCAAAACAUUCUUCCUCCAUAAAAAUUACCCCCAACUUAAUAUUUCAUCACUCUUGCAGCAUUUUCUUCCUCUGACUUCUUUAACACUUAAUUGUCUGUAAUAGUCAUUCAUCCUACUAGUUUUUUUGUUUGUCUUUUUGUUUUUUAGGGCCUCACCUGCGGCAUAUGGAAGUUCCCAGGCUAGGGCUUGAAUCUGAACUGCAGCUGCCACGCUAUGCCACAGCUCACAGCAAUGCCAGAUUUUUAACGCACUGAGCAAGGCCAGGGAUAGAACUGCGUCCUCAUGGAUGCUAGUUGUGGUCAUAACCCACUGAGCCACAAUGGGAACUCCCCCUACUACUUUUCUAUAUACUACUUUACCCUAUUUUUUGACAGGAAUCUUAUAUUCUCAAAAAAAUGUGAAGUUUCUUGAGAACUUUACCUAGUGCAGUGUUUGUCAUAUUUUGUUUACAAUAUCACUAUAAUUCCAUAGGGAAUGUGGGAUGUUCUGUAGGAAAAAAAGGUAAAGAGGUAUGCUCUUUUAAACAUUUGACAAGUUGUAUAUAAUAGAAAAUCAGUUAUUACCUCCAUUUGACUUAUAAAUUCAAAAUUUUAAACUUUUUUUCUUAUGGAAACAAAUUUUUUAAUAACCAUUAACCAAAAAAAAAAAAAUGACUUAAAAUAUUUUUCUGGCUUAAAAAUACAUAUACUUUAAUUUUUUUGCUCUUUUUUAGGGCCGCACCCGCUGUAUAUGGAGGUUCCGAGGCUAGGGGUCCAGUUGGAGCUAUAGCUGCCGUCCUAUGCCACAGCCACAGCAACAUCGGAUCCGAGUCAUGUCUGUGACCUACACUACAGUUCACGGCAAUACCAGAUGCUUAACCCACAGAGAGAGGCCAGAGAUCAAACCCGCAACCUCAUGGUUCCUAGUGGGAUCCAUUUCUGCUGCAUCAUGACGGGAACUCCAAAAAAUUUUUUUAUUAAAACUACUCUUUAAGGUUAAUUUUAGAUUCAUGACAAAAUUAAAGGGAAAGUGCAGAGAUUGUCUGUAUAAACUCUGUCACCACACAUGCAUAGCCUCCCUGUUACCAACAUUCCCCCCAGAGUGGUAUAUUUUUCACAAUUGAUGAACCUACAUUGACACAUCAUUAUCACCCAAAGUACCUUGUUUACAAAAUGGUUCACUCUUGAUUUUGUACUUUCUAUGAGUUUGGCUAAAUGCAUAAUGACACAUAUUCAUCAUUAUGGCAUCAUACAGAUUAUUUUCACUAAGAUAUAGAUUUCUCACUAAAAAUCUUCUGCCUAUUUAUUAUUCCCCUCCCUCACAAGCCCCUGAAAACCACUGAUAUUUGUAUGGUCUUCAUACUUUUGCCUUUUACAGAAUGUCAUAUAUUUGGAAUCAUAUACUUUAUAGUCUUUUCUGAUUGGAUUCUUUUACUUAGUAAUGUGCAUUUAAGCCCCUCCAUGUCUUACAAUAAUAGCUCAUUUGCUUUUAGCACUGAAAAAUACUCCAUUGUAUAGAUGUAGCAUAAUUUACUUAUGAAGGAUAUCAGUUUUCCAAGUUUUGACAAUGAUGAAUAAAAGCUAUUCUAACCAUGCCUAUGCAGGCUUAUGUAUAGACAAUACCAAGGAAUGAGAUUGCUGGAUUGUAUGGUAAGAGUAUGUUUUGUUUUGUAAGAAAUUGCCAAAUUGUUCUUCCAAAGUGGCUGCACCAUUUUGCAUUCCCACCAGUUAUGAAUGAGAGUUCCUGUUGUUUCACAUCCUCUCCAGCAUUUGAUACUGUCAAUGUUCCAGAUUUUGGCCAUUCUAAUAGGACUAUUGGUAUUUUGCCAUUAUUUAUUUUACAUUUUCCUAAUGGUAUUUGACUUGGAGCAUCUUUUCACAUACCUAUUUGGCAUUUGAAUAUAUUCUUUGGUGAGGUGUCAAGUAAGGCCUUUGGCUCACUUUUUAAUUGAGUUGGUUUUUCCCUUAUCAUUGAGUUUCAAGAGUUAUCUGCAUAUUUUGGAAAAUAGUUCUUUAUCAGAUAUGUAUUUUGCAAAUGUUUUCAGUCUGUGAGUUGUUUUCUCAUUCUCUUGACAUUGAUUUUUGCAGAGCAAAAAAAUGUUUAAUUUUAAUGAAGUCAUGCUUUAUUCUUGCAUGGAUCAUGCUUUUGAUAUUGUAUCUACAAAGGCAUUGACAUACCCAAGGUAAUCUAGGUUUUCUCCAGUGUUAUGUUCUAGGAGUUUUAUGGUGUUGUGUUUUACAUUAAAGUCUGUGUUCCUUUUCGAAUUAUUUUUUUGUGACAAGGUCUGUGUUUUGAUUCCUAGUUUUGCAUGUAGAUAUUUAGUUGUUUCAACACCAGUUCUUGAAAACACCGUCUUUGCUCCAUUUUAUUACUUUGUGCCUUUAUCAAAGAUCGCCUGAAUAUAUUUGUAUAGGUUGACUUCAGGGCUCUCUAUUCCAUUCCACUGGUCUAUUUGUCUAUUAUUUUACCACACUGACUUGGGUAGCUUAACAGUAAGUUUUGAAGUCUAGUAGAGUCAGUUGUCCAACUUUAUUUUUCUCCUUCAAUAUAUUUCUUGCUCUUCUCUGUCUUUUGCCUCUCCACAUAAACUUUAGAAUUAGUUUGUCAACAUCCACAUGAUAACUUGGUACAGCUUUGAUUGUAAUUGCUUUGAAUCUAUAGAUCAAGUGGAAGACCUGACAUAUUGACAGCAUUGACUCUUUCUAUCUAUGAACAUGGAAUAUCUCUCCAUUUAUUUAGUCCUUUGAUUUUGUUUAUUAGGAUAUUGUAGUUUUCCUCAAUGUAAAUUGUACAUAUUUUGUUGGAUUUAUAGCUAAGUGUUUCUUCUUUGGCGUGCUAGUAUAACUGUUAUUGUGUUUUUGAUUUCAUAUUCACUUGUUCAUUACUGAUAUAUAGGAAAGAGAUUGAUUUUAGUAUGUUAACCUUGUAUCCUACAACCUUGUUACAAUCUAUUACUAGUUCCAGCAGAUUGUCAAUUCUUUCAGAUUUUCUAUAUUUCUGUGAACAAAAAUAAUUUUAUUUUUUCUUUUCCAAUCUAUGUAUAUUUUAUUUCUUUUUCUUGUCUGUUUUCACUAGCUAGAAAUUCUGAUAUUAUAUUGAGAAGAAGUUGUAAGAGGGGGCAUCCUUGCCCUGUAUCUUAUCUUGUUGGAAAGCUUUGAGUCUCUCACCAUUAAAUGUGAUGUUAGCAGUAGGUUUUUAAAAAAAUAUUAUUUAUCAACUUUAACAAAUCCUCAGUGGCUUUUUCAACAAUGUGAAUGAAAAAUUCUUUGGUGUUUCUUUAAUAUGAAAUAUGAAGAAAUUGGAGCUUAAGUGAAGAAGGUUGAACAACCACAUCCAAAAAAUGUUCAUCAAUUAAUCACCAUCAGUCUGGAGAGAUGUCAUUUUGUUGGGAUAUGAAGUUUUACACUUCGUCACUUAUAUUCAGUAUUCUUGUCAAUAUGUUACCUAACCAAGGAUUGCUAUUCAAAACUGUAGGUAGUAAGGAGUUAUGAAGAAAUAUCUAUUUUGAGUAAACACGUCUGUGUUGGCUCCCAGGUGUAUUAGGUACAUUGUCAGGUAUUGUGAGGGUGCCAAAUGUGACGCAUGAUCAAUAAGCUUGAUGCUAAUGUAUUUCUCUAGGGGAUAAAAUAAUUGUAUGCAAGGCAAAACCUGUCAGGUCAUGAGAUCCUUUUUCUCGCCUCCUCAUCUGCCAUUUUUUUCUUUCUCACCACGCUAAGAAUGCUGGAUUCUGCUUCUUUCAUAUAGUGUCACUUAUAUGUGGAAUCUAAUUUUUGAAAUAAUACAAAAGAACUUGUUCGUAGGACAGAAUCAGACUCAAAGAUUUUGAGGUCAAAUUCAGGGUUACGAAAACGUAAACUGAGGGGGGAAGGGAUAAAUUGGGUGAAUGGUGUUGGCACAUAAACACUACUAUAUAAAGGAGAGAUAGUUAACAGGGACCUACUGUAUGGCACAGGGAAGUCUAUUCAAUGUUCUCUAAUAAUCCAUAUGGAAAAGAUGAAUAUAUGUAUUUAUAUAUGUAUCUGAUUCACUUUGCUGUAAGCCUAAAAGUUAUAUAACUUUGUAAAUCAACUAUACCCCACUUUUAAAAAUGUUGUAAAUUAAAAUAAAUAAAUAAAAGAAAACACUGGAUAUAAAAGUGUAAUUCCGAGCACUUCCCUGACUCAAAAGUUUUGGAUCUGAUGUUUCCUUUCUACAAAAUACUCAUUCCCCUCAUCCAAGCUCACUACUGCCUGCUACAUGCCCCCGCCCCACCAAAACUCACUCAAACCUUCACAUGCAUGCUUUAGAUAUAGUCUAGAUAUUUUCCAGAGCUUACAUAAAAUACCAUAGGCCACAUGGUAUCAGAGGAUUUGUCAUUAUGCAUGAUUUUUUUCAUGUAUGCAUUUGUGUAUAUUUGUUUAAUUUAUGGAUUCUGUAUGAUCAAAGAAGGCAGAAAAUUAGCUUGUUUUGUUUUUCACAUCGUGCCUGAUAAUGGGACCAGAUCUCUCUCUCUCUCCCUGGUAGGUGACAUAUUUGUUAUAUCAAUGAAUUUAUAAAAAUGAUAAUAUCUUCUCCCCAGCUGAGUGAAGAUGAUGUUUGAAUCAAAGUCAUGACAUUGGGCUGAAACUUGAAAGUUGCGUAGGAUUUUAACAGGCUGAAGA